UACGUAGGGACCGAGCGUUGUCCGGAUUCAUUGGGCGUAAAGAGCUCGUAGGCGGCUGUUCAAGUCGAACGUGAAAACUCGGAGCUCAACUCCGAGCCUGCGUUCGAUACUGGAUGGCUAGAGUCUGGUAGGGGGAUCUGGAAUUCCUGGUGUAGCGGUGGAAUGCGCAGAUAUCAGGAGGAACACCGGUGGCGAAGGCGACUACCUGGCCUGUUCUUGACGCUGAGGCGCGAAAGCUAGGGGAGCAAACGGG
Molecule: ribosomal RNA, 253 nt
Filed under: uncultured bacterium
Lineage: Bacteria
Description: partial 16S ribosomal RNA
Rfam family: Bacterial small subunit ribosomal RNA
Source: RNAcentral